CCUACGGGCGGCAGCAGUGAGGAAUAUUGGUCAAUGGGCGCGAGCCUGAACCAGCCAAGUAGCGUGAAGGAUGACUGCCCUACGGGUUGUAAACUUCUUUUAUAAAGGAAUAAAGUGAGGCACGUGUGCCUUUUUGUAUGUACUUUAUGAAUAAGGAUCGGCUAACUCCGUGCCAGCAGCCGCGGUAAUACGGAGGAUCCGAGCGUUAUCCGGAUUUAUUGGGUUUAAAGGGAGCGUAGAUGGGUUGUUAAGUCAGUUGUGAAAGUUUGCGGCUCAACCGUAAAAUUGCAAUUGAUACUGGCAGCCUUGAGUACAGUUGAGGUAGGCGGAAUUCGUGGUGUAGCGGUGAAAUGCUUAGAUAUCACGAAGAACUCCGAUUGCGAAGGCAUCUCAUGAAUCCGCGAUUGACGCUGAUGCACGAAAGCGUGGGUAUCAAACAGGAUUAGAUACCCGAGUAGUC
RNAcentral lists this ribosomal RNA (460 nucleotides) under uncultured bacterium. RNAcentral's name for it is "partial 16S ribosomal RNA". It matches the Rfam family "Bacterial small subunit ribosomal RNA", at positions 338 to 795 of the family's 1533-position model. The record is from RNAcentral.